UGACAAGAAAUAACAAUACGGGGCUUAAAGUCUUGUAAUUGGAAUGAUGGGAAUUUAAACCUCUUCCAGAGUAUCAAUUGGAGGGCAAGUCUGGUGCCAGCAGCCGCGGUAAUUCCAGCUCCAAUAGCGUAUAUUAAAAUUGUUGCAGUUAAAAAGCUCGUAGUUGAAUUUCUGCUGCAUUGCUUGUGUCCCUCUGGGGUCUGUGCAUGUGGCUUUUUUCGGACGGAGUUUCUUUGUCUGAAUGUUUACUUUGAGAAAAUUAGAGUGCUCAAAGCAGGCUUUCGCCUUGAAUAGUUUAGCAUGGAAUAAUAAAGUAGGACUUUGGUUCUAUUUUGUUGGUUUUAGGUACCAAAGUAAUGGUUAAUAGGAACAGUUGGGGGCAUUCGUAUUUAACUGUCAGAGG
RNAcentral lists this ribosomal RNA (403 nucleotides) under Theileria annulata. RNAcentral's name for it is "SSU rRNA". It matches the Rfam family "Eukaryotic small subunit ribosomal RNA", at positions 468 to 911 of the family's 1831-position model. Lineage: Eukaryota; Apicomplexa; Aconoidasida; Piroplasmida; Theileriidae. The record is from RNAcentral.